RNAcentral lists this long non-coding RNA (2903 nucleotides) under Equus caballus (horse). Its description in RNAcentral is "lncRNA (ENSECAG00000050298.1)". Lineage: Eukaryota; Metazoa; Chordata; Mammalia; Perissodactyla; Equidae. The record is from RNAcentral.
AUAAAGGAUGAGGCCAUUUGCCUGUGCCUGGGGCAAAGGGGAGCAGAGAGAGUAAAGAAAUCCUGCAAAAUCAUGACUGCUGGGCUGCUGCGGUCAGCAGAAUAAUAGCCCCCAAAGAUGUCCACGUGCUAACGCCAGGAACCUGUAAAUGUGUUACUUCCACAGCAGGCAAAGGAGAAUUAAAGUUACGAAUCAACAGAUAAGGAAAUUCUCCUGGGUUAUGCAGGUGGGCCCAAUAUAAUCACAAAGCCCUUAAAAGUGGAAGAGAGAGGCAGAAGAGGUCAGGGUGACUGGACGUGACGAGGACUCCACCUCCCACUGCGGCUUUUACAGAAGGAUGAAGGCGGCUGUGAGCCAAGAAAUGUGAGUGGCUCCAGAAGCUAGAAAAGACACGGAAAUGGACCCUCCCCUUGAGCCUCAGGAGAAGAAUGAAAGUAGCCCUGCUGACACCUUGAUUUAGCCCACUGAGACGUACGUUGGACUUCUAACCUACAAAACUGUUGUGAAGUAGACAACUGCAUGUAAGACCUUCCAACUCAGAACUGUGUGACUGUCCAGAAAGCAGAGGAAUUUUUAGGAGGAUCUAAUGAUCUAAUGAGGAUCUAAUGACAUGACAACGUAAAAGCACUUCGAAAACAAUCUUCUUUCUGAUAGAAGAACAGCACAGUGGCCAAGACAAAGGUGGAAUCAGUGGAAAGAAGUAGAAGCCUGACAUUUAAUAAACUGGAUAAUCAGCAUAAGCUUGGUCAUUGUCGUACUUGAGCUUCAAGUGGAGUCUGAUUAAUUUGGAAACAAUGCAAUUGGGGCAAAUUCCUUCCUUAGAUUUUCAGGCAACUUUGGGUCCAAAGUUAUUAGCUGUUACGAGCAUUCCCACUGGCAAAAAGUGAGAGCAUGCCUCUGUUGACAAAGCCUAAAACAUCAUCUGUGACACCAUGAAUGUUUCAUUGCACAAUAGAGCAGGGAAUACUAGUUACCACACUUCUCCAUUUUUCAUCUCAUGUGAUGGAGCAGAAUACAUCAUGGGUCGUGGGCAAUAGCAACAUGCGUCUGUUUCUUGGCCCUCUCAGCGCCAGGACCGGAGUAAUCUAUUGCGUUAUCUUAUGGCAUUCUGGGUAUUCUUGAGCAAUAUUAGAGACUUAGACUAAGAGAAGGAGGACUCUAAGUAACCUAUUAAAGUAUCAUUUGUCUGGAAGGCUGUGAUAUGCUAAACCUGGAUCAGCAAUUAAGUUUAAUUCCUUGCUCUAUCUGUUUGGAAAUGGAACCUUUAGCAAAAGUGGAUGUGCUUUACCAACAAGUGCAUUUUUAAAGUAAUCUCCAUUGUUUAUCACUUUAUUUAUUUAUUGAGGUAACAUUGGUUUAUAACAUAAGUUUCAGGUGUACAUCAUCAUCAUCAUUAUUGUUGUUUAACACUUUAAUGGUAGAAGUCAUGGAUGAUUCUAGGCAGGUGAAUUACGCAAACAAACAUGCACAAGGAGGGGCGCAACCUUAUCAUAGUUAUAUAUGCAUUUAGGUUUAGUAGCUACUUGGGAAAUGGGAAUUUUUCUCUUGAUAAGACAAAUUAGCAAUCUGAUUUAGAGACAUUUUCUUUAAAUCAUCUGGUUGCUUUAUCUUACCAGAAACUGUGCUUUGGAUAUUCCUUUCUUUUUGUUACUUUUAUCAUUUGAUUCAAAGAGAGUAAGUAACAUUUUAAGAGCAAGCAUAGCUUACAUGGGACUCUUUCCAAAUUGUUUUACUUACAUAUUACUUUGUUUUUAAUCUUUCUUUUUAAGUAAAGGAUCUAAAAGUAUAUUCCACAAACAAAUUCAAGAAUCUGAAUAGCUGGUGAACCACUUGUUUGCCAUUUCAUAGGUACAAUUACUCUUAGUUUUACCCACAGUGAUUCAGUGUUAAAAAACGGAUAACAAAACUCAGUACUUUAUUUCUCUGUUUUAGGUUUUACUUUGACCAUGUAGCACAUGCCACCGAUUUCUAGGCAUUAGACUGAAUUUUUCAACAGUGAAUUAAUUAGCACAAAUUUUUUGUUAUAGUUGAGGGAGGGGGAGUAAAUAAAAUGGAGAGACAAGAUUAAGCAGAGUUGAGGGAAACAGGUUAUUUCAUCUUUCAAAGAUAAAGUUCUAUGGCAGGAAGCUUCUCGGUACUCAUUAGGAACACAAGCCUCCACACAUGCAUGGGAGAACGGGGAGCAAAAGGAAUUUCAAUUACUUUUUCAUGAAAUCUGACCCAGAGUGGAACAAAGAGAAUUCUAAAGCUUUUGCAUAUGGCCAUAUUUGGGGGGUUGGGGGGGACAUCAAUCUUUUUCCCCCUUCUCUGGUGUUGCUUGAACAAAAAGAAUUAUUGAAAUUGAACUUGUUCAGGUUUUUAUAAAUCAAGAUGUCAACAAAUACAAGCACUAGUCCAGUUACAAGAGACUGUAGUUUACAGAAUAAAACUAACCCUGUUUCUUUUUUUUAAGCUCUAUAAAGAACACAUUGUUUAUUCUUGUGUAGAAAAGUCAUGUAAAGAAGCUCUCUGUCAGGUACUCUAUUUUUAUUUAGUUGUUUCAUAACUCAAUUAUAAUGUUCCCCUCUGUCUAAUAAUUAGCAUACCCACAGUAAUGAAGCUUGAAAAGCUGUUCUUUUCCCCACUGUGUGUCAGUUAAACUUCCAGAUUGUUAUGGAGAAUGAGUUGUGCCUGUGUAGGUGAGUUGUCUUUCCCGCCUGCUCUGGCAGCUUGCCCCUGUGCAGUAGUUGAGGGUCAGCUCUUGGAGAAAGGCCCAGCCAGAGGCCUGAGCAGGGACUUCCUGCCAUCUGCAGCACAAGGAAAGAUGUCAGCAGGAAGCGCUCAAACGGCUCCUCUCCAGCUCUCCCAGGAUGACCAGUAUUUCCCCCAGUUCCACAACUAGGGAAAUUUAACAGUCACUUGAU